Molecule: long non-coding RNA, 2234 nt
Organism: Trachemys scripta elegans
Lineage: Eukaryota; Metazoa; Chordata; Testudines; Emydidae
Exons: 2
Source: RefSeq, a predicted model, not a curated record
GGGUGAAGGGACUGGUAUGGCACCAACCACCAGUGAUGAAAGCAGAGAUGAGCCCAGCAGAGAGAAAGACACCACAAACAGCUGGCUGAGACCUCCUUCUAAGCACAGGGAAAGCUCCAGCAAGGAGGGACCACUUGGCUCAGGGGAAUGGGACUGAGUUUGAAGAGCUUUCAUCUCUUUACUGGCUUGAAUCCAGACCGGGAUGGGUAGGGAGUCGGCAGUGUCACUAUCUGAUCUCAGCCGCGUUCCUAGUGGGUCUACACCCACCCCACUGCUGGCAGGGUCCGUGGUUAGGCCAACGACUGGAUGGGCUACGGAGACUGAACUCCUUUGAAGGUUAGAAUUUAGGAUGGCCAAUUUUGGUUGGAUGUAUUCCUGGAGAGUUAGUCACAUGACAUCAUUUUUAAUUAAAGAUUAAUCUUUAAUUUCUGGAGACUCCAGACCAAUCAUGGGAUUAGACCUAGGCCUAGCUAGACUGGCGUCCAUGCUCAAUUAGCAGCAGCCAGCCCCUUUCUUGGCAGUCCCAUGGGGCGUGCCAAGGAAUGAAUGGCACCUGUGCAGGGGCGAAUGAGGGGCAGAACCUCAAGCCACCAGUGCCCGUGCUGCACCCGGCUGGUGCAUGACGGGAGAGCUACUUGACAAGCUGCUAAUCCAGAGUACGACAGCAAGGAACCUGGACAAUGCCUUUGACAUCAUACAUCGUGGGUGGCAAGCGAUGUAAAUGAUCCCCUUCAGCGACAGAGCAGUUUCGAGAGAUGCCAGUGCGCUCGCUCCAGUUCAAAUUCAGCUGCAGGAUUUACGGCCUCAGACCUGUCAAACUGCAGCAUAUGCAGCUGCUCCACAGGAAUUCCCUCCCUCGGAAGAGCCUUCCCAGUGCAUUCCUGUACAGAUGUCCCACCGCUCUGCUAAAAGGAUGUCACCUUCUCUGCUCCAGCAUCUAGCAGCAAAUACCUGGAGAAUCUCCAGGGGCCUGCCACAGCUCCUAGUGACAUCAGCAGGGACUGCAGGUGCGCAGCACCUUAGAAAUCAGGUCAUUUAUUUAGGUACCUAACAAAUCUGAGGAUUGCAGCCAUCGGGUGUGUUUAGGGAACAAAAUACCUACAUCAGGCAGUUAUGGCCUGUUUCUUCCCCAAGUGGUGAGCACCUGCAGCUCCCCUUGACUGCACUGAACGGGGCGGGGGGGAUGCUCAGCACCACAGAGAAAAUCAGGCCAUAAAUUAGAGUCGGUCCCAAAUCUUUUUCCCACCCCAUGGAAAUAUUCAACUACAACAAAAAAAACUUCCCUUUUCGUCAAAAUUUUCCAUGCAAAUUUUCGAGCUUUCAGUGAAAACCUGAAAACCAAAAGAUUUUGUCUGAAUACUGAAAGUUUUGGGAUAAAAACUUUUGGUUUUCAUCAGAAACAUUUUGAUAAAGAAAACAAACUUUUCCACCGAGAGCCGACACGCUUUUCGCUUUUCCCUCCUCCAAAACGCAAUUCCCCGUCAAAAAGCAAGUUCGGAGGAAAAUUUUCCACCAGCCCUAUUAUAAAUGCUGAUGUAGGCACCUAAGUUAGCAGUCAGAUGCCUAAAUGCGUAUCUGGUACCCAACUUUAGUUUGAAAAUAGGGUUCGUAAGUACUGGGCACGCUGAAUAAAGGACAUGGAGUUAUACCGCUCCAGGAGCCGGACUGUGACCCCGAGAGUCACAGUUCAGUCAGUGCUUCCCCUUUGCUCUGUGAAGUUGCUCCAGUGCAGUUUAUUUCAUCCAGAGGUGGCCAGCACAAUGGGGAUGAAGCCAAGGCUCUGCCCACUCCUCGUCCUUGCCCUCCUACCUGUGCAGGAGGGGAAGUCGCAGGCCUGCGGAGGUUGCUCUCCCCACUGCAUUGCAACCUGUAAUGUUGGUAGCUGGUUUGUAAGGGUGUCUUAUGCAUCCGUGCUGUCUAAACAGGCACAAAGUUUCCUCAGCUAGCACUCCCCAGGACUCUAUGCAACCGAACUAUCCUUCUGGGUAUUCCCAACGUGCCUCUCACAGAACUCUAGUCUCACAACUCUGGGCAAAUUUCCGGAGAGCUCAUUGGACACAUCUGUAAAAUAAUGACACGAACGGGGCACAUCAGGCAGUUAUGCACGGUCCAUCCCCUGCACGGCAUGUCAUGUCUGAAAUUCCAUCUGGCACUACAGCUGUUAGAUGCGUUUUCCUCCCUAGCAGCAUAGUAAGGUGAUUGGAGUCAACAAAUAAAAAAAGAAUAUUCAGCAA